ACUGUUAUUUAAUAUUUUGUAUACCAAUUUUAGUGUCAAUUUGUUAUUACUAUUACUUUUUCAAAUAAUAUUUAGCGUAUUUAUUCAAUAGACUAUUAAAAUACUUAGUCAGUAAACACGAAACCACAAACGGAAUUCGAAUGCGGUAAAACCAAACGGAAAUGUUUGUAGAUGGCCAUCUUCUAGAGAAAAAUACGAAAAAUAGGAGAUAAUAACUAUAUGUAUUUCGGCGUAUUGAAUCAGUCAUCGACCCAUUGUAGCUAAAAGUGCAACGCAGCCAAGGAUGUCAUCUUUAUAAUGAGCAAUCGACGUUGAAAAAAAAACCCAAGAUUAUAUUUUACAGGCGUAUUGUGUGCAAAUGGCGUCGAUUGUUUAUCGAAAGAGAAAGAUUUUAACGACAGGCGCAGUACAAGUACACAAUAUUUUGAAAUUGUAUUAACAAUAACAUUUUUUUGAUAAUCCGCAGGGAAAAAAAUAACCACCACGCAAUAAAUAAAUAAUACGCAUAUUGUGUACGGUGUAUCUACCUAUGAAGAAACGGCUAAUGUCUAAACAACUUUCCAUUGAAUAAUUGAUACAAAAUACGCUGCGAGUAAUGGAAAAUGUGCAGUAUGUGUUCCACAUGGAUGUCAAACGUAUUCCCGGUAAGGCAAUAGAUGUGCAAUUAUUCAUUUAACCGAGACUAAAGGAUUUCAUUUCUGUUUAAGCUUCGCGCAAAAACGACGUUCAGAUAAAAUACAAUGUUGAAUAUUAUUACUCAUAUAGAUUGUGUAGGUAUUAUGCGUACAAUGUGAAUAAUAUAAUACCUGUGUAAUACCUAUAUUUUAUACGGGCUGCGUUUGAAUUAUUCGAAUUCCCGUGUCAACAGCAAUUAGUAACACGAUUUUCAUGUAAAUAUCAAACUACUUGUUUUCGCAAUGUGCCAUACAUAUUGUACCUACAUGAAAAACCAAGAAAUCAUCGUUUAGGUAUGUCUGCAGAACUCGAUAUCAAUGAACCUGUGGAUCGAUCACGGUGAAUGUUCAACGAUUCGACGAGGGUCAAGUUCUAUCGCAGGCAUUAUUAUAAUAUACAGAUUCGACGAGAUAUCCUGUACACGGCGGCCUAACCUUCCUUGCAAAACCACUCGUCCGCCCAAGCUUACCUCCUAGACCUACC
Molecule: long non-coding RNA, 1158 nt
Organism: Rhopalosiphum maidis (corn leaf aphid)
Lineage: Eukaryota; Metazoa; Arthropoda; Insecta; Hemiptera; Aphididae
Exons: 3
Source: RefSeq, a predicted model, not a curated record